This 466-nucleotide long non-coding RNA is filed under the name Musa acuminata (dwarf banana). Its description in RNAcentral is "long non-coding RNA (MACU_LNC010594)". The record is from RNAcentral. Lineage: Eukaryota; Viridiplantae; Streptophyta; Magnoliopsida; Zingiberales; Musaceae.
GUGGGUUCUAGGUAACUAAACACUAUCUCUAUAUGAAAAUGUUUGCUGUACUUAGUUGCUGAUGAUAAGGUGCGAGCCAUUGAAGCUGAAAUAAAUUGAAAUACAGUUAUAUAAAUCCUCAAUAAUAAAUCAUGGAACCUAAUUAAUAUGACGAGAAAAAUCAUAAUUAUAUUGGUUCCUUUUUAACUAUAAAAUUAUUCAUAUUUUUAUUAAAGAAAAAUGAUGAGCAGAUUAGUUGGCUGAUUUUGUUAGGUCAAUUAAAGUUUUUUUUUUUUUUUGUAAAGAGCCCAUUGGUCGGAUUCUCUUGCUAAUUUUUUGUAAAGAGCAACCCCAAUUCAGCAUGUGGAGCUGAUGUUGUUUGGAUGGAGGAUAGAGGAUCGCUAUGUUUUUUAAGAAGAAAAAAGAAACAGGGGAACUCCUUCAAGGUUUCUAGUGUUCCAUGGAUGUUCCAUGGAGAGGAUGAUGA